GGAGCAGGCUGGAGAAUUUAGAGCUGCGUCACAGAGCUCAGCGAGAGAGUGAGAGAGCAAGCUCCGUCGAUAGGUCUACCAGCAACAGCCCUGCUGCAGCAAGAGGGGAGAGAGGCAGCAAGAGAGGCAGAGAGGGCUCCAGAAAGAGAAGUAUCACCAACACCUCGGGCUGGGCUCCUGCCACCAUCCACUGCCAUUUAGACGUCGUACUCGGGCUCGGUUGGCGUAGGAGGCUUCGCCCAUUGACGAUGCUGGAGACCCGGCGCGCUUAAUCCCGCGGGGAGGGAGAGUGGGCAGACACCGAAAGGGUUAACGGAAAGGAAAUUUCUGGAACCUUCUCUUCUGCGGCGCUCCACAGCGAGCGGAGGGCUGAGGACUGCGCAGAUGGUGCACGGGCACAGCUCUUCGGUCCGGUUCGCCUCUCUCACUGACCAGCAAUGAAGAUGGCAGCUCUGCCUGGAAGUGCUGAGGACACAACCAGCCUUGAGCUUGGUCCUUCUGGCCGAGGAAGUCUCCCGAUUAUGCAGUGGAGUGAUUCCAUAGGGAAUUUCAGACUCUUGCUGCAGUCGUCACAACCCCUCCUGACUCACUGAGCCUUCGCUGGCUGUAGCUGGCUCCCUUGGAGCAUCCUUGCCUCCUGCAGCGCCAGAUCCGCAGAGCAGGGGAACAACAGGAAUAGCAGCGACGACGGUGGUCCCUGCAGCGAGACAGACAGGCAUAAAUACACACACAUGCAGGAACAGUCCGAGGCAGCUGUGGAGGGAAUUCUGUACAGCCGGGAGCUGGACUAAGCCCCGAUUGCUUGGUUGCGUGGAAGACGGAGGAGGAAGGCUCUGUGAGUGACGAGACAGCCACGAUCUCCCCCUUGCACUUGUUUUGCCGAUGGUCAUGUUACAUCUGUGACGCAGACGAAUUUUGCUGUUGGUUCCUGCCUGUGCUUCAGGGAGUCGGGCUGAUGAGGGCACAAGCUUGAAUAUGGUUAGAAACAUUAAUUUAGUAUCGCUGUUACGGGUUCAAACCAUACCUGAAGGGUCAGGGGUAUUGGAUCCACCUAUUUCACAGCCCCAAAUGGCGAAGGAAUUCGGAUGAACACAACAGCACCCCUGGCCAUUUUGUAGCUCGCAGAGUAGACUCGGAGCCUGCAGCUCUGCUGCUGCUGCUGUUCAUUUCCAUGUUAUACAAAUACAGCGUUGGGCUCGGUGUCAGGAGCUUUCCUGAUGCUGUGAGAAGCUUAAAGUCUACAAGCAAAUGUUUUUCUUAUUUGGGAAGAUUAAUUAAAAUGACCAAAUGCCAAGUAUUCUACCCUCGCUCCUCUCACAAAUCACAUCCAGAAAAUUCAGUGGUGCCGUGUAUGUUUUUUAAAACUUAAUCACGGGGUUUUCUUACAGUUUAAUAUGGGUGUGGCUGUGGGGGAGGGUAAGAUUUAAUUUGCUAAAUAUCUGUAAUGCUGAUGUUAAUGGACAAGUACGUAGGCAAGAGAUAGUUGUCCAUAUCCUCUAUACAUCUGCCUAUAGAUACAGAUGGUCCCAAGCCCAGGUUGUGAAGAUGCCCUCGUCACAAAAAUGAGAAGGGACCACUCUGGCCCAUUCUCACCCACCCAAACGUUUCAGUGCAAAGGCAGCAGCAGGAAAGGCCAAGUUGGAAUCUCAAUCUCACAAAAUGGUUCCACCAGCACUCAGAGAUGCCAGCGCCGUUUAUACUGGCACGGCUCCGAGAGCGGCACGGCGAGCUGCCUGCUGCAAGGUCAUUCCCCUGACUCAUGGUCAGCAACCAGUUGGUUCAGGAACUCCCAAUCCACUUUUCUUGCAUCUGUGGCAGCGCUUGAAU
Long non-coding RNA from Manacus vitellinus (golden-collared manakin), 1827 nucleotides. RefSeq lists it as uncharacterized. Lineage: Eukaryota; Metazoa; Chordata; Aves; Passeriformes; Pipridae. The transcript has 4 exons. The record is from RefSeq and is a predicted model, not a curated record.